ACUCGCUCUCGUUGUUCAUAUAUUACAUAAUAUAUAUACAUAAGAAAAAACACAACAUUUUGUUGUCAAAAUAAAGUUGACCAGAUUUAAUAGACCUUUCCCCUUUUGAGUGAAAUUUUGAUCUAGAUAUGCCGGCUGGACAAAAAUUUCAUCACAGCUUGAAAGAGCAUCACAGAAUUAGUAAUAUUCCGAAGUUUCGUUGCGAAAUGUUGUAAAAUGCGGAUAAUAUAGCCUUGCGAAGUUUGCCGUUUUUCAGUCAUUUUGCAUUACAAACGGGA
This is a non-coding RNA of Paramuricea clavata, 278 nucleotides long. NCBI's taxonomy places the organism in Eukaryota, Metazoa, Cnidaria, Anthozoa, Malacalcyonacea, Plexauridae. The record is from the annotation of a GenBank genome assembly.